GCUCUCAGAUGACAUCACCCAGCAGCAGC
RNAcentral lists this non-coding RNA (29 nucleotides) under Rattus norvegicus (Norway rat). The record is from RNAcentral. Lineage: Eukaryota; Metazoa; Chordata; Mammalia; Rodentia; Muridae.